RNAcentral lists this small RNA (78 nucleotides) under Escherichia coli. RNAcentral describes it as "partial RtT sRNA". It matches the Rfam family "RtT RNA", at positions 54 to 130 of the family's 130-position model. Rfam says of the family: This family represents a bacterial cis-regulatory element known as RtT RNA. The exact function of RtT is unknown although it is thought that it may be involved in changing the cellular response in relation to amino acid starvation. The record is from RNAcentral. Lineage: Bacteria; Pseudomonadati; Pseudomonadota; Gammaproteobacteria; Enterobacterales; Enterobacteriaceae.
CCAGCGAGAGAGCGUUGCCGCAGGCAACGACCCGAAGGGCGAAGCGUGCAGCGCUGAGUAAUCCUUCCCCCACCACCA